AUGGCAAGGCAUGAUAGCAUCAAUAACCUUGAUGGCAAGUUCAACCUAGGAUAUGCUGGCUAUGCAUGUUGGCCUGGUAUUCUUCCACCCUUCAGGAAAACCAGGUACCAUAUGAAUGAGUUCUCUUCUAGGAACUACCCUAGGAUUGCGCAAGAAUUGUUCGAUCUCAGACACUCCAGCCUUAGAGUCACGGUUGAGAGGGCAUUUGAAGCUCUGGAGAAUCGAUUUAAGAUCUUGGAUCAGAAGCCAUUCCACCCUUACCCCACUCAAGUUAAGCUUGUUCUUGUUUGUUGCAUUCUGCAUAACUAGAUCCUGCAACGGGGUUAUGAAGAGUUCGGGUCGGAGGAGGAAGAUGUGACUGCCGAUGAUGAUGACUCCCUUCAUGGUGUGGAGGCACAUGACAGUGAAGCUUGGAAGACCAAAAGGAUGGAAUGGGCUGAGGCAAUAUGGGCAAACAGAUGA
RNAcentral lists this ribosomal RNA (462 nucleotides) under Triticum aestivum (bread wheat). Its description in RNAcentral is "partial small subunit ribosomal RNA". The record is from RNAcentral. Lineage: Eukaryota; Viridiplantae; Streptophyta; Magnoliopsida; Poales; Poaceae.